Molecule: ribosomal RNA, 833 nt
Filed under: uncultured Bacteroidota bacterium
Lineage: Bacteria; Pseudomonadati; Bacteroidota
Description: bacterial SSU rRNA
Rfam family: Bacterial small subunit ribosomal RNA
Source: RNAcentral
GCAAUCUGCCUUUCACAGGGGGAUAGCCCAGAGAAAUUUGGAUUAAUACCUCAUAGUAUAAUCAAACCGCAUGGUUUGAUUAUUAAAGUCACAACGGUGAAAGAUGAGCAUGCGUCCCAUUAGCUAGUUGGUAAGGUAACGGCUUACCAAGGCUACGAUGGCUAGGGGUUCUGAGAGGAUGAUCCCCCACACUGGUACUGAGAUACGGACCAGACUCCUACGGGAGGCAGCAGUAGGGAAUAUUGGGCAAUGGACGCAAGUCUGACCCAGCCAUGCCGCGUGCAGGAUGAAGGCCUUCUGGGUUGUAAACUGCUUUUAUCUGGGAAGAAAACACCUAUGCGUAGGAAACUGACGGUACCAGAUGAAUAAGCACCGGCUAACUCCGUGCCAGCAGCCGCGGUAAUACGGAGGGUGCAAGCGUUGUCCGGAUUUAUUGGGUUUAAAGGGUGCGUAGGCGGCCCUGUAAGUCAGUGGUGAAAGCCUCCAGCUCAACUGGAGAACUGCCAUUGAUACUGCAGGGCUUGAGUACAGACGAGGUUGGCGGAAUUGAUGGUGUAGCGGUGAAAUGCAUAGAUACCAUCAAGAACUCCGAUUACGUAGGCAGCUAACUAGGCUGUAACUGACGCUGAGGCACGAAAGCGUGGGGAGCGAACAGGAUUAGAUACCCUGGUAGUCCACGCCGUAAACGAUGAUUACUCGAUGUCGGCGAUAAACUGUCGGCGUCUUAGCGAAAGCGUUAAGUAAUCCACCUGGGGAGUACGCCCGCAAGGGUGAAACUCAAAGGAAUUGACGGGGGCCCGCACAAGCGGUGGAGCAUGUGGUUUAAUUCGAUG